RNAcentral lists this ribosomal RNA (253 nucleotides) under uncultured bacterium. RNAcentral describes it as "partial 16S ribosomal RNA". It matches the Rfam family "Bacterial small subunit ribosomal RNA", at positions 524 to 776 of the family's 1533-position model. The record is from RNAcentral.
UACGUAGGGUGCAAGCGUUGUCCGGAAUUAUUGGGCGUAAAGAGCUCGUAGGCGGUCUGUCGCGUCCGUUGUGAAAACUCGAGGCUCAACCUCGGGCUUGCAGUGGAUACGGGCAGACUAGAGUGCGGUAGGGGAGACUGGAAUUCCUGGUGUAGCGGUGGAAUGCGCAGAUAUCAGGAGGAACAUCGGUGGCGAAGGCGGGUCUCUGGGCCAUUACUGACGCUGAGGAGCGAAAGCGUGGGGAGCGAACAGG